This 253-nucleotide ribosomal RNA is filed under the name uncultured bacterium. Its description in RNAcentral is "partial 16S ribosomal RNA". It matches the Rfam family "Bacterial small subunit ribosomal RNA", at positions 524 to 776 of the family's 1533-position model. The record is from RNAcentral.
UACAGAGGUCCCAAGCGUUGUUCGGAUUCACUGGGCGUAAAGGGUGCGCAGGUGGGUUGGCAAGUUCGAUGUGAAAGCCCCGGGCUUAACCCGGGAAUGGCAUUGGAAACUGCUGAUCUGGAGGAUCGGAGGGGGGACUGGAAUUCUUGGUGUAGCAGUGAAAUGCGUAGAUAUCAAGAGGAACACCAGUGGCGAAGGCGAGUCCCUGGACGAUACCUGACACUGAGGCACGAAAGCCAGGGGAGCGAACGGG